This 1199-nucleotide long non-coding RNA is filed under the name Hordeum vulgare. Its description in RNAcentral is "long non-coding RNA (HVUL_LNC000020)". Lineage: Eukaryota; Viridiplantae; Streptophyta; Magnoliopsida; Poales; Poaceae. The record is from RNAcentral.
AUAGAAGUCUGUGUACCAAGUUUCUGCUACUUAACUUUGUUAUGUUCCUAUGAGAAUGGUACAUUGAGAUAUUGGAGGAAUUACCACACAUUUGCAAAGCGGGCAUGGCUACUAAGCUCCUAUCUUCCCAGAGUCCACCACCCCUUACUUUCAACCUGGAAAAGUAGAUUAUCGAGGGGCUUCACCAAGCGUUGGCUCCUCGCCUUCCGGCGGUUCAUCGGGCGAAGUGAAUAGUCGUCCACGCGGCCGGCUAGGCGGACGACCGGCAGGCUGGCCGCAUCCCGGCCACGAAGGCCAAAGCUACUUCUGCUACUUCCACGACGCAGUUGAGGAGGAGGUACACGAUUUUGGCGAGGAGAGCUACGCGCUCAUAAAGGCCAACGUCGUCGACCUAAAGCCGCUCCAGGUCGUCCGCCUAGACAUAUCCCAUACUCACAUGAGCAAGAAAACAAGUUAAAUAGUUCUUUAGCGGCUUGCUCAAGAUAUAUCCCAUACUCACAGUUUAUUUAUUUAUUUCCUGAAAAGAGUAUAUAUAGUCCCACUGUCUUAGGGUCCGAAAGUGAAUGUCAUAUGUUUCCAGAUUUGCUUUUCUCUAUAUCCAUCUGCAGUCUAUCUAAAAUAAUGGAGGAAAACAAAUAUACAUGUAUUCUCUCCGGCCUAAUCUAUCUCCCAAUGUUUGUCCUCGGUGGUACGAGUCCAUCGGACCCAACACGGCCUUUGUCGAGCCAGAGCUCAUGUCGACGUCACCAUUCGAUGCCACCAUCCUCACUCCGGCAUCCUGUUUCGCAAUAGUGUUAAAGAGUCUACUUCACUCCGUCUAGAAAAUCAUAGGCCACACAUAAGAGCAAGAAUUGUUACAUACAUGAAUACGAUAUAUAACUACAUACAUGCAUGUAUGCCAGGCAUCAAUGGUCACACGUGAUGCAAAAAGAAAAUACUCCACACAAUUAUGUUAUGUGAUUGAGAUGACACACGUUAGAUGUCAUGCAAACGAACUGAAUAUGUAAAUGACUAUUAGUAUGAGCAAUUUAUGUUUCUGUAUGUUCCUUCCACCAAGUAUCUUCGAGUAGAAACUACCUAAGUAAGUUUUAGGACUCAACCAAAUUGAAUCUACGGUUCUUGCUUGACCCCAACUGUAGAAUUUUGAUCUUCAGGUUAUUUUUUAUAGGAUAAUAUGGGGCUUAAUUUGUAUGGUGUCU